Long non-coding RNA from Salvia miltiorrhiza (redroot sage), 983 nucleotides. RefSeq lists it as uncharacterized. Lineage: Eukaryota; Viridiplantae; Streptophyta; Magnoliopsida; Lamiales; Lamiaceae. The record is from RefSeq and is a predicted model, not a curated record. The transcript is spliced from 2 exons.
CUGAAGUUUUAAUUGUCUAAUCAACACCCGCACACCCUAUACUCCUACCGGCCACUCUACCCCUUACCUGCAAGAGCCUUUAAGGUAAGCUGUCAAUUUCCCCGACACCCCUCUGUUUGAGCACACCAAGACCAUUUCAUUUUGACAUUCUUGCAACUUCCAGCAGCACAACAUCCUCUUUCACGCAAACAAUAUCCAAGUGCAAGAGCAGAGAAGCCAAAAUCAAAGCACCCACCAAAAACUUCCACCAAGGUACUAAUCAGUAUAGCUCAAGAAAAUGGCGAAUAAACCGUUAAUAUGCACAACAAACUCAUCACAUGGCCUUUACAGAUUGCGUAUAUCAAAAUUUAGCAAAUGACAUUCAUGAAAUACAUAUGCUUACGAACUGUGUAUAUACUUGUAUAUAUAAUCAUUGUUGUGUAAAAAGAAAAGAGGACUAGGAGUCUUGAGCUUUGAUCUUGGCUGGUGUGUCGGGUCGGGUCUGCGGAGUCAAGGAGAUGAGUCUUGUGGCUGAGUGAACUGGGCUCGGUGUUGUGGUAUUGAGUCGAGUUGGGUGGAUGUUGUCACUGCUGAGUUGAGUCAGGGGGGGAAGGUUGACGGCGGCGGCCAUGGCUGCCCUAUGGUCGCCGGGAAUCGGAGCAAGGAGAGGCGACGAGGCAGGGGCCUUGUCGCUGGGGUCACCGGGAGGGAGAGAGAGAUCGAGGAAGGCGGCGGCGCCUCGCCAUCGCCAAGGAGGAAGGCGAAGGCGGUGAUUCUCGACGCCGCUUCGUCGUCCAUGCGUCUGUGUGUGAGCCGUUCUUUGAGUCGCCGGAGGUGAGGGAGAAGAGAGAGCAGAGGGAGUGGCGGGGGUGUUGCAGGGGUGCCGGGUUCUGUGGGUGAAGGGAAACGAGGGAGGUGAUGAUGUGAGGGCGGCGGCCGUGAUUGAUCGCGGCGCUCUUCGCCGGAGAAGAGGGCGGCGCCGCACCAACCUCUGGUGUGUGCGU